GAUGAACGCUGGCGGCGUGCCUAAUACAUGCAAGUCGAGCGAACAGACGAGGAGGUUGCUACUCUGACGUUAGAGGCGGACGGAAGAGGAACAUGAGGAUAACCCAACUAUAAGACUGGGAUAACUACGGGAAACCGGAGCUAAUACCGGACAAUAUCUUGAACCGCGUGGUUCGAUAGUGACAGCCGGUUUUGCUGUAACUUAUAGAUGGCUCCGCGCCGCAUUAGCAAGUUGGUAAGGUAACGGCUUACCGAGGCAACGAUGCGUAGCCGACCGGGGAGGGUGUUCGGCCACUCUGGGACUGAGCCACGGUCCAGACUCCUAGGGACGGCACCAGUAGGGACUCGUCCGCGAUGUGCGGAAGCCUGACGGAGCAGCGCCGCGUGAGUGAUGAAGGUCUUCGGAUCGUAUAACUCUGUUAUUAGUGAAGAACAAAUUUGUAAGUAACUAUGCACGUCUUGACGGUACCUAAUCAGAAAGCAACGGCUAACUACGUG
RNAcentral lists this ribosomal RNA (497 nucleotides) under uncultured bacterium. RNAcentral describes it as "partial 16S ribosomal RNA". It matches the Rfam family "Bacterial small subunit ribosomal RNA", at positions 28 to 507 of the family's 1533-position model. The record is from RNAcentral.